This 253-nucleotide ribosomal RNA is filed under the name uncultured bacterium. RNAcentral describes it as "partial 16S ribosomal RNA". It matches the Rfam family "Bacterial small subunit ribosomal RNA", at positions 524 to 776 of the family's 1533-position model. The record is from RNAcentral.
UACGUAGGGUGCAAGCGUUAAUCGGAAUUACUGGGCGUAAAGCGUGCGCAGGCGGUCUUGCAAGACAGAUGUGAAAUCCCCGAGCUCAACUUGGGAGCUGCAUUUGUGACUGCAUGACUAGAGUACGGUAGAGGGGAAUGGAAUUCCGCAUGUAGCAGUGAAAUGCGUAGAUAUGCGGAGGAACACCGAUGGCGAAGGCAAUUCCCUGGACCUGUACUGACGCUCAUGCACGAAAGCGUGGGGAGCAAACAGG